UACGGAGGAUCCAAGCGUUAUCCGGAUUUAUUGGGUUUAAAGGGUGCGUAGGCGGAUUAUUAAGUCAGUGGUGAAAGCCUGCAGCUUAACUGCAGAACUGCCAUUGAUACUGAUGAUCUUGAGUACAGUUGAGGUGGGCGGAAUGUGUCAUGUAGCGGUGAAAUGCUUAGAUAUGACACAGAACACCAAUUGCGAAGGCAGCUCGCUAAACUGUAACUGACGCUGAGGCACGAAAGCGUGGGGAUCAAACAGG
Molecule: ribosomal RNA, 253 nt
Filed under: uncultured bacterium
Lineage: Bacteria
Description: partial 16S ribosomal RNA
Rfam family: Bacterial small subunit ribosomal RNA
Source: RNAcentral